RNAcentral lists this unclassified non-coding RNA (3084 nucleotides) under Leishmania donovani. Its description in RNAcentral is "gene:LdHU3.36.9550(CDS-product:RNA_ligase/6-phosp hofructo-2-kinase/NACHT_domain/AAA_domain_containing_protei n_putative)". The record is from RNAcentral. Lineage: Eukaryota; Euglenozoa; Kinetoplastea; Trypanosomatida; Trypanosomatidae.
UGGUCUGGUCGCAAGGCACCAGCACACGCGCAAAGGCAAAGCAGAUACUGCUUCGUGCGGCUUCAUGGAGGCACUCAAGCGCGAGUGCUGGUUUCACAGGGAGCAGGCGACUCCCCAUUCCACGAAGAUUGACACUGCGGUGCUUGACGGGUACGUUGCGCGCGGUCGAGUUGCGCUUGCGGCCGUGAAGCUGUCGGACGGACGUGAUGUUUCCUCCGUAACCUUCAAGGGGGCCUCUCAGGGGGAUGUCAAUGGCCUGCCGUGUGGCGCACGGUCGCUGCUGAUCGACCGCGCUGAUGGCAGCAUUGUGUGUCGCGGCAUCAACAAGUUCUUCGACCUAAAUGAGGUGGGUGACGACUGGCUGAGUGAUUCCUCCUUGUGGACAGACGCGUACUGUAUGUGGGCUGUGCGCAAAAUGGCUGGUUUUAUUGUCACGCUCUUCUCGCUCGACGGCGUGCGGCUGGAGGUGAUGAGCAAGCACGUUCUCGUUGGCCCUCACGUCGACGCAGCGCGCGAGCUACUGGAGCGAGUGAGUGAGACGCGCCGAGCUCGAUUGGCGGCAGAUUUAUUUGAAUGGGGAGCGUGCGCAUGCUGCGAGUGCAUUCGACGCGCACAGGAUUACCAUCACCCGGUGCUGGAGUUGCAACAGUUUGACCAGCAAAUUGUCCUGAUUGCGGUGCAGAGGCGCACCCAGCUGCGGGAGGAAAGCUUAUGCUUCUCGGAGGUGACGACCUUGGCCGAGCGAUGGGGUCUCGGCUGCGCUCCAGGUGUGGCCGUGCCGAACAGUGAUGCGCUGCGCUGUGUGUUCGCGGCCACGGCGUCGUGGAAUGCGACGUACACCCCCUUUGACAUGUGCCCACAGCUUGCGGAGGGGUUUGUGCUGCUAAUCGAGAUGGCAGGGCCGACGGCGGCCCCAGGGCAGCGAUGGUGCCUCCCAUUGCGACUCAAGCUCAAGACGGCCAAGUAUGUUGUGCUGCGAGCCUUCCGAUCUCUCGUGUACGGCGACUCGCGCCCACAGAGCUAUGUCUAUCAUCAGGCUCUGCUGGGGUGGCUUCAGCUCAGAAGCGCUGCGGAGGUUCGACGGCGUGUGGAGGAGGUAGGAGUGCAUGCCUUGAACAACGAUUUCGAGUCGGGCUUAUCGGCGCAGCAGCGGGUGCGACACCGAGACUCCCAAGAGACGGUCGGCGACGCGCUUGCUCGCCUCCAGCGCACGACGGCGCUCAUUGCCUGCCCUCGCGGUCGGUGUCCCCUCACGGUGGUUGUGCUUUGCGGCUUACCGGGGGCCGGUAAGUCGACGCUGGCGAUGGUGCUCUCCCGCCUGCUUGCCUCACAGGAGGCGUCUCCGUUCAGCUUUGUUGUGCACCUGAGUCGCGACGCAGUGGGCUGCACCGUGGCGGCUGACCACGGAAUCACAGACGCGAGCAGCAAACACAAGCAGCGACGGCUUGGCGCGCUUGUUCACCAGACCCUGUGCGAUCAGAUGCGGGAGGUGGCGUGCUUCUCCGCAGAGACGGAGCAGAGCGGUCUUCUCCUUCUCGACGCGUGCAACGCGACGCAGAAAAGUCGACGUAUAUGGCGGCAAUGCUUCCCGAUAACGUUACACAAGUACGAGGUAGCUUACGUGGAGUGCUCGGACGCCAGUGCGAUGGUGCAGCGUGCCGCCAGGCGUGACGGCCACGAGGUGCUGCUCAGCGCUGCCGAGGCGCAGCAGGCGCUCUAUGCAGUGCGCAAAAAGUUUCAGCCUCCUUCUGUGGAGGAGGCUGCGUGGCGCGUGGACACGACGGGGUGCUGCGUAGAAGAGGCGGCAGCUAGCUUGUGCACCCAUCUCGCGGAAAGAGCGCCUCCAUCGAGCUGCGCCGGCUGCUGCCGAAUUCUGACAAUCUCAGCGCUACGGGAUGAGAGACGUGAGGGCCAUGCGACUCUGCUGCACAAUCUGCUCGGCAUAUCGGAGACCACCACCGAGGCACUUGCCAGCAUGGUAUUAUCCGUGAACUCGGGCCCAAAGGUGGCGAGGGCAACUUCUCUACAGCUGCGGCUCGACUGCUCAACAGAGGCGCUUCGCUGCGCUGCCGCGCAGCUGAUUUCUUCCUCCCUCGACGAGCCGCGCGAGCCAGCCCUGUCUUUUGCCUCUGUCGGUCGUCUUCUCUUUCGCGGCGUCUCGGCAGCACUUCGAGGUUUCUCAUGGGCACCGUCAUUCCCAGUUACUGGGCACGUAACCAGGGGGCAUUUAAAGUGGUUGCGUGGCUGGCUGCUGCGCGGGCGCGAUCCGAGUGGGCCUGCGGAGUUGGAGAAAGCGCUACGGGAGCGAUUCGCGGUGGUGCCGGCGAGGCCACACGUGACACUACUCUACAUCAACUCUGUAGCGGGGGCCACAAGUGCCAAUCAGGCCAUGUCCGAGUAUCUCUCCCAGGCUGGCAUGCACCUCGGCCAGGAAGUGACGGUGAAGGUUACAUCUCUGCUUUUGGACCGCCAUGCCUUGAGCUUCGGGGUUACACUGACAGGUGGGCAGCAGGUGCAAGGGCAGAGUAUGCAUGGCACCAGGGGCACUGCCACCCGCCUGCACAUCACAGUGGGCACCGCACCCGGGGUCGCUGCCUCCUAUGCUGGGAACAUGUUCGCCAUAUUCGAUGUCCUGCAGGCGGAGAAUGAGUCACUAGAGACAGAGCGACGGGAGUCGUUUCGGGCAGUAAACCGAAGCCAACGAAAGUACCACAACUUUGUUGAGUACCAGCUUAGCACUGCGCUGCCAGUGCGUGGCGUGGUGGAGGUGUGCGGCUCAUGAACAAGUUGUGGUCGGCGAGUAAUGAUGCAGCGAGAGAAGGGGGAUGGCUGCUCCUCUUGUGCGACGCGAAACACUUUGCUUGCUUUCCUUGUGUCUGUGUGUGUGCCUGCUGUUGUCGCGAUUGUGACUGCACGCGUGCGCUGGGUGCUGCGUGUGUCUUGAAACACCUCACAGUCACACAGUUCUGUGAUCCGCGGAUCGGUCAAGCACCUUAUCUACCGAACAGCGCUCGCCAUGAAUGACUUGACGCUUUCCGUUUCUUUUUGGAAGACUCGGCGCGCCUCCAGCAUGGCGAAGAUGAU